GACGAACGCUGGCGGCGUGCUUAACACAUGCAAGUCGAACGGAAAGGCCCUGCUUUUGUGGGGUGCCCGAGUGGCGAACGGGUGAGUAACACGUGAGUAACCUGCCCUUGACUUUGGGAUAACUUCAGGAAACUGGGGCUAAUACCGGAUAGGAGCUCCUGCUGCAUGGUGGGGGUUGGAAAGUUUCGGCGGUUGGGGAUGGACUCGCGGCUUAUCAGCUUGUUGGUGGGGUAGUGGCUUACCAAGGCUUUGACGGGUAGCCGGCCUGAGAGGGUGACCGGCCACAUUGGGACUGAGAUACGGCCCAGACUCCUACGGGAGGCAGCAGUGGGGAAUAUUGCACAAUGGGCGGAAGCCUGAUGCAGCAACGCCGCGUGCGGGAUGACGGCCUUCGGGUUGUAAACCGCUUUCGCCUGUGACGAAGCGUGAGUGACGGUAAUGGGUAAAGAAGCACCGGCUAACUACGUGCCAGCAGCCGCGGUGAUACGUAGGGUGCGAGCGUUGUCCGGAUUUAUUGGGCGUAAAGGGCUCGUAGGUGGUUGAUCGCGUCGGAAGUGUAAUCUUGGGGCUUAACCCUGAGCGUGCUUUCGAUACGGGUUGACUUGAGGAAGGUAGGGGAGAAUGGAAUUCCUGGUGGAGCGGUGGAAUGCGCAGAUAUCAGGAGGAACACCAGUGGCGAAGGCGGUUCUCUGGGCCUUUCCUGGCGCUGAGGAGCGAAAGCGUGGGGAGCGAACAGGCUUAGAUACCCUGGUAGUCCACGCUGUAAACGGUGGGUACUAGGUGUGGGGUCCAUUCCACGGGUUCCGUGCCGUAGCUAACGCUUUAAGUACCCCGCCUGGGGAGUACGGCCGCAAGGCUAAAACUCAAAGGAAUUGACGGGGCCCCGCACAAGCGGCGGAGCAUGCGGAUUAAUUCGAUGCAACGCGUAGAACCUUACCUGGGUUUGACAUGGAUCGGGAGUGCUCAGAGAUGGGUGUGCCUCUUUUGGGGUCGGUUCACAGGUGGUGCAUGGCUGUCGUCAGCUCGUGUCGUGAGAUGUUGGGUUAAGUCCCGCAACGAGCGCAACCCUUGUUCACUGUUGCCAGCACGUUAUGGUGGGGACUCAGUGGAGACCGCCGGGGUCAACUCGGAGGAAGGUGGGGAUGACGUCAAGUCAUCAUGCCCCUUAUGUCCAGGGCUUCACGCAUGCUACAAUGGCUGGUACAGAGAGUGGCGAGCCUGUGAGGGUGAGCGAAUCUCGGAAAGCCGGUCUCAGUUCGGAUUGGGGUCUGCAACUCGACCUCAUGAAGUCGGAGUCGCUAGUAAUCGCAGAUCAGCAACGCUGCGGUGAAUACGUUCCCGGG
RNAcentral lists this ribosomal RNA (1343 nucleotides) under uncultured bacterium. RNAcentral's name for it is "16S ribosomal RNA". It matches the Rfam family "Bacterial small subunit ribosomal RNA", at positions 28 to 1378 of the family's 1533-position model. The record is from RNAcentral.